UCUGUGUCCUAUGCCGUCAUCACUCACCAUUGCCCUUCUCUUUGCAUUUCUUGAUCGGUCGCUUCCUAUCGCUUUCAUGCGGAAGGUUCCCCCUACCGGCCUGAAAGAAAGAAUGGUUUUUAGAUAGAGCGUUGGCUAUGGCGCCAUUUGCGAAGGAAUGGGUUUAUGCGCUUUCUUUACUACUAUGCUAUUUCUCCCGUCUCGGACGUGAUUCGUAUUUGAUGCUCUUAUCGGAUUGGGUGCUUGAUUCCUUAGCUGAGCUAAUGAUUUAGAUGCGGAAUCUGAGCUAAUGGCUCACUUCACUACCUUAAGCGGAGCUAACUACAGGCCAAAAUAUACUGCAAUCACCCAGACCUUUCUAAUACUGAAAACCUGUAUACGAAAUUUCUUCAGUUGCUUACUCGGCCUAAGCAAGCCUGACCGAACACCCGAAAGAAGUUCUUUCUCCAUCGAACGGGAAUGGACGAAGAACGAGGAGGCAUUCUUCAUAGAGAAGAGCCCUGAGAAAUUUCACGAUAACUGAAGAGGGAAUGCGGCUCUUGAUUCCUUAGCUAAGCUAAUGAUUUAGAUGCGGAAUCUGAGCUAAUGGCUCACUUCACUACCUUAAGCGGAGCUAACUACAGGCCAAAAUAUACUGCAAUCACCCAGACCUUUCUAAUACUGAAAACCUGUAUACGAAAUUUCUUCAGUUGCUUACUCGGCCUAAGCAAGCCUGACCGAACACCCGAAAGAAGUUCUUUCUCCAUCGAACGGGAAUGGACGAAGAACGAGGAGGCAUUCUUCAUAGAGAAGAGCCCUGAGAAAUUUCACGAUAACUGAAGAGGGA
This 826-nucleotide long non-coding RNA is filed under the name Nicotiana benthamiana. Its description in RNAcentral is "long non-coding RNA (NBEN_LNC023796)". The record is from RNAcentral. Lineage: Eukaryota; Viridiplantae; Streptophyta; Magnoliopsida; Solanales; Solanaceae.